CUUGGAGAUAGGAGGUUAAAAAUUAUUGAAGGUGGUGUUUUACUGCCAAUUGAAGAUCAAUUUCAUCUGUUAUAUGGUUUAAUGGUAGGACUGAACAAAAUACCUUUGCAUGCACUGUCUACCAUAUUGAGAAAACCAGGAGCAUGAGCCAUCAGCAAACUGUAAUCAUCAUUAAUAAUUGAAUCUACUUGUUUGUGGCAUGUCAUCAAGGAAUUCUACGAAGUCAUCAACAAUACCUCAGUGAUAUUAAUAAUACAUAGUUAUUUUUAAUAAAAUUAAAUUUCAAAUAUUAUUGGUAUGUAUAUUUUCUCUCUUUUAUAUUUCCUCUCCUUUGUUUCCUUCA
Amphimedon queenslandica is the source of this 343-nucleotide long non-coding RNA. RefSeq lists it as uncharacterized. The transcript has 2 exons. The record is from RefSeq and is a predicted model, not a curated record. NCBI's taxonomy places the organism in Eukaryota, Metazoa, Porifera, Demospongiae, Haplosclerida, Niphatidae.